CAACAGGGAUUGCCUCAGUAACGGCGAGUGAAGCGGCAACAGCUCAAAUUUGAAAUCUGGCUCUCGGGCCCGAGUUGUAAUUUGUAGAGGAUGCUUUUGGUGAGGUGCCUUCCGAGUUCCCUGGAACGGGACGCCAUAGAGGGUGAGAGCCCCGUCUGGUUGGACACCGAUCCUCUGUAAAGCUCCUUCGACGAGUCGAGUAGUUUGGGAAUGCUGCUCUAAAUGGGAGGUAUAUGUCUUCUAAAGCUAAAUACCGGCCAGAGACCGAUAGCGCACAAGUAGAGUGAUCGAAAGAUGAAAAGAACUUUGAAAAGAGAGUUAAAAAGUACGUGAAAUUGUUGAAAGGGAAGCGCUUGUGACCAGACUUGGGCUUGGUUGAUCAUCCGGGGUUCUCCCCGGUGCACUCUUCCGGCUCAGGCCAGCAUCAGUUCGCCCUGGGGGAAAAAGGCUUCGGGAAUGUGGCUCUCUCCGGGGAGUGUUA
RNAcentral lists this unclassified non-coding RNA (481 nucleotides) under Fusarium solani. RNAcentral describes it as "sequence contains ITS2, 28S rRNA gene". It matches the Rfam family "Eukaryotic large subunit ribosomal RNA", at positions 66 to 558 of the family's 3401-position model. The record is from RNAcentral. Lineage: Eukaryota; Fungi; Ascomycota; Sordariomycetes; Hypocreales; Nectriaceae.